This 666-nucleotide ribosomal RNA is filed under the name uncultured Bacteroidales bacterium. RNAcentral describes it as "bacterial SSU rRNA". It matches the Rfam family "Bacterial small subunit ribosomal RNA", at positions 111 to 776 of the family's 1533-position model. Lineage: Bacteria; Pseudomonadati; Bacteroidota; Bacteroidia; Bacteroidales. The record is from RNAcentral.
UAACACGUAUCCAACCUGCCGAUGACUCGGGGAUAGCCUUUCGAAAGAAAGAUUAAUACCCGAUGGCAUAGUUCUUCCGCAUGGUAGAACUAUUAAAGGAUUUCGGUCAUCGAUGGGGAUGCGUUCCAUUAGGUUGUUGGCGGGGUAACGGCCCACCAAGCCUUCGAUGGAUAGGGGUUCUGAGAGGAAGGUCCCCCACAUUGGAACUGAGACACGGUCCAAACUCCUACGGGAGGCAGCAGUGAGGAAUAUUGGUCAAUGGACGAGAGUCUGAACCAGCCAAGUAGCGUGAAGGAUGACUGCCCUAUGGGUUGUAAACUUCUUUUAUACGGGAAUAAAGUGAGGCACGUGUGCCUUUUUGUAUGUACCGUAUGAAUAAGGAUCGGCUAACUCCGUGCCAGCAGCCGCGGUAAUACGGAGGAUCCGAGCGUUAUCCGGAUUUAUUGGGUUUAAAGGGAGCGUAGGCGGACGCUUAAGUCAGUUGUGAAAGUUUGCGGCUCAACCGUAAAAUUGCAGUUGAUACUGGGUGUCUUGAGUACAGUAGAGGCAGGCGGAAUUCGUGGUGUAGCGGUGAAAUGCUUAGAUAUCACGAAGAACUCCGAUUGCGAAGGCAGCUUGCUGGACUGUAACUGACGCUGAUGCUCGAAAGUGUGGGUAUCAAACAGG